UGAGGAAUAUUGGUCAAUGGACGAGAGUCUGAACCAGCCAAGUAGCGUGAAGGAUGAAGGCCCUAUGGGUCGUAAACUUCUUUUAUAGGGGAAUAAAGUGCGGAACGUGUUCCGCUUUGUAUGUACCCUACGAAUAAGGAUCGGCUAACUCCGUGCCAGCAGCCGCGGUAAUACGGAGGAUCCGAGCGUUAUCCGGAUUUAUUGGGUUUAAAGGGAGCGUAGGUGGAUAUAUAAGUCAGUUGUGAAAGUUUGCGGCUCAACCGUAAAAUUGCAGUUGAUACUGUAUAUCUUGAGUGUACAAGAGGUGGGCGGAAUUCGUGGUGUAGCGGUGAAAUGCUUAGAUAUCACGAAGAACUCCGAUUGCGAAGGCAGCUCACUAGAGUACAACUGACACUGAGGCUCGAAAGUGUGGGUAUCAAACA
This 422-nucleotide ribosomal RNA is filed under the name uncultured Bacteroides sp. Its description in RNAcentral is "partial 16S ribosomal RNA". It matches the Rfam family "Bacterial small subunit ribosomal RNA", at positions 355 to 774 of the family's 1533-position model. Lineage: Bacteria; Pseudomonadati; Bacteroidota; Bacteroidia; Bacteroidales; Bacteroidaceae. The record is from RNAcentral.